Molecule: ribosomal RNA, 284 nt
Filed under: uncultured prokaryote
Description: partial 16S ribosomal RNA
Rfam family: Bacterial small subunit ribosomal RNA
Source: RNAcentral
UGGGGAAUAUUGGGCAAUGGGCGCAAGCCUGACCCAGCAACGCCGCGUGAAGGAUGAAGGUUUUCGGAUCGUAAACUUCUUUGAUCGGGGACGAAAUUGACGGUACCCGAGGAACAAGCAACGGCUAACUACGUGCCAGCAGCCGCGGUAAUACGAAGGUGGCAAGCGUUAUCCGGAAUUAAUGGGCGUAAAGGGCGUGUAGGCGGGAAGACAAGGCGGGAGUUAAUGCCCAGGGCUUAACCCUGGAGCUGCUUCCGAAACUGUCUGUCUGGAGUGUCGGAGAG